AACGUAGGAGGCGAGCGUUAUCCGGAUUUACUGGGCGUAAAGCGCGUGCAGGCGGUUUGGUAAGUUGGAUGUGAAAGCUCCUGGCUUAACUGGGAGAGGUCGUUCAAUACUACCAGACUUGAGUGUGGGAGAGGGAGGUGGAAUUCCGGGUGUAGUGGUGAAAUGCGUAGAUAUCCGGAGGAACACCAGUGGCGAAAGCGGCCUCCUGGCCCAAUACUGACGCUCAGACGCGAAAGAUAGGGGAGCGAACGGG
RNAcentral lists this ribosomal RNA (253 nucleotides) under uncultured bacterium. RNAcentral describes it as "partial 16S ribosomal RNA". It matches the Rfam family "Bacterial small subunit ribosomal RNA", at positions 524 to 776 of the family's 1533-position model. The record is from RNAcentral.